This 213-nucleotide ribosomal RNA is filed under the name uncultured bacterium. Its description in RNAcentral is "partial 16S ribosomal RNA". It matches the Rfam family "Bacterial small subunit ribosomal RNA", at positions 524 to 735 of the family's 1533-position model. The record is from RNAcentral.
UACGGGGGGGUAAGCGUUGUUCGGAAUUACUGGGCGUAAAGGGCUCGUAGGCGGCCAACUAAGUCAUACGUGAAAUCCCUCAGCUUAACUGGGGAACUGCGUGUGAUACUGGAUGGCUUGGAUUUGGGAGAGGGAUGCGGAAUUCCAGGGUGUAGCGGUGGAAAUGCGUAGAUAUCUGGAGGAACACCGGUGGCGAAGGCGGCAUCCUGGACC